Chrysemys picta bellii (western painted turtle) is the source of this 846-nucleotide non-coding RNA. The record is from RefSeq and is a predicted model, not a curated record. NCBI's taxonomy places the organism in Eukaryota, Metazoa, Chordata, Testudines, Emydidae.
GUAGUUAAUUUUUCAUAAGAUGCUCAUAAGGUAGGUGGAUAAACACUAUCUCCAUUUUAUAGAGGGAUACUAAAGAAUAGAAGUUUUGACUUGCCCAAUGCAUCACAUCCUGCUGAUAUCAGACCCUGGGACAGUACUCAGUGUUCCUGGCUCUUAGCCUGGUGCUCUGUGCAUGACCGCACGGUGUCUCAGUGUGAAUGUGAUCGAGCAGAGGACUGUCGGUCAUAUUGAAGGAUGGGAGAUGCCAAGUGAAUAGUGCUCUUGAAUCAUGAUGUCUGAUCAGUGUGUAACGGAAGUAUUCAGCUACUAUCCAAGGUAUUCUGGAUGGCAUGGACGAGGAGAAGAGGAAAGAGACAAAGCCUGGCUCGUAUUUGGACAUUGUUGGGCUGAGGACUGUAAUCGAUCCCCCUUCUGCCCCAGCGCUAGAGUAUGCUGAGGAGCAGCUGUACAAGCUGAGAUGACACUUGAUUUUGAGUUAAAGUGUAUUAUAGUGGCGUGGCAGCACCCAUACAGUCACAACACAGAAAGAGGAGGAGGAGGAAGAGAGAGAAAGAGAAAACUAAAAACCCUGAAGGAUGGUUCUCAAAAAUUCGAAAGGAACCACAGGGAAUUCCUUUUAAGAGCAACAGAAAGCGAGCCAGCUGAGGUGAGGCAGUUUGAGCUUACCCUUUCUCCCCCCCACCCCCUUUUUGGUUAUAAAUUGCUGUUUCUUUAUGGAGUGGGGAGGGGAGGUGGGUGGGGAAGACACCUAACUUCUUUACUGCUUAAGCAAUCUGAGCAUAGAACUCAUGUGAAUAUGCAAAUAGGGCUGGCUGGGCUGCGUUGCUGACACGUGUAUGUGUUGUA